Molecule: ribosomal RNA, 374 nt
Filed under: uncultured organism
Description: partial 16S ribosomal RNA
Rfam family: Bacterial small subunit ribosomal RNA
Source: RNAcentral
GUAGGUGGCAAGCGUUGUCCGGGAAUUAUUGGGGCGUAUAGCGCGCGCAGGCGGUUCUUUAAGUCUGAUGUGAAAGCCCACGGGCUCAACCGUGGAGGGUCAUUGGAAACUGGAGAACUUGAGUACAGAAGAGGAAAGCGGAAUUCCACGUGUAGCGGUGAAAUGCGUAGAGAUGUGGAGGAACACCAGUGGCGAAGGCGGCUUUCUGGUCUGUAACUGACGCUGAGGCGCGAAAGCGUGGGGAGCAAACAGGAUUAGAUACCCUGGUAGUCCACGCCGUAAACGAUGAGUGCUAAGUGUUAGGGGGUUUCCGCCCCUUAGUGCUGCAGCUAACGCAUUAAGCACUCCGCCUGGGGAGUACGGCCGCAAGGCUG